This 406-nucleotide ribosomal RNA is filed under the name uncultured bacterium. Its description in RNAcentral is "bacterial SSU rRNA". It matches the Rfam family "Bacterial small subunit ribosomal RNA", at positions 370 to 772 of the family's 1533-position model. The record is from RNAcentral.
AAUGGAGGGAACUCUGAUCCAGCCAUGCCGCGUGAAGGAAGAAGGCCCUACGGGUUGUAAACUUCUUUUGAGUGGGAACAAAAUACCCGAUUAAUCGGGAGCUGAGGGUACCACUAGAAUAAGCACCGGCUAACUCCGUGCCAGCAGCCGCGGUAAUACGGAGGGUGCAANCGUUAUCCGGAAUCACUGGGUUUAAAGGGUGCGUAGGCGGUAAGAUAAGUCAGUCGUGAAAUUCUUCGGCUUAACCGAUAGGACUGCGAUUGAUACUGUUUUACUCGAAUCAAGUUGAGGUAGGCGGAAUGUGACAUGUAGCGGUGAAAUGCAUAGAUAUGUCAUAGAACACCGAUUGCGAAGGCAGCUUGCUGGGCUUUGAUUGACGCUGAGGCACGAAAGCGUGGGGAGCAAA